UACGAGUGCCUCAAGCGUUAUCCGGAAUCAUUGGGCGUAAAGGGCGUGUAGGUGGUCUUGUUAGUCUUCCGUUAAAUUCUUCGGCUCAACCGGGGUUCGCGGGGGAAACGGCAAGACUCGAGGACGCGAGAGGUAUGCGGAACUCAUGGUGUAGGGGUGAAAUCCGUUGAUAUCAUGGGGAACACCAAAAGCGAAGGCAGCAUACUGGCGCGCACCUGACACUGAAACACGAAAGCGUGGGUAGCGAAUGGG
This 252-nucleotide ribosomal RNA is filed under the name uncultured bacterium. RNAcentral describes it as "partial 16S ribosomal RNA". It matches the Rfam family "Bacterial small subunit ribosomal RNA", at positions 524 to 776 of the family's 1533-position model. The record is from RNAcentral.